GCCCGCUGCAUCUGUUUCUCGCAGGGCGGCCAGCAGUGUUGAGCAGCCGGGAAGGGUUUGCAGUCCGCCGGACACACAGCCCAACAUUUCUCCUCUCUGGUGACCGAACGUCUUCCGCAUCUCCCUCAUCAUGCUGGACGUCCUGAUAUUGAUGUUUUUCGCCAUCAUCGGCCUCAUGUUCCUGUCCUACAUCAUCUACAUGCUGUGAUUGUGUCGACAUGGACGCGCCUCGGGACGGAUCGCGAAACACAAAGGAAGAAGCUCUGUCUCUCUUCUUUCUGAUAUAUGGAGGAGAUGAAAUGUGAACACACUGGAAGAUUCAGGAUACAGGAUGAGACUUCCUCCUUCCCUCUGUCACACAAACACUGUUCCUGUAGGGUAGUAAUCAACCCCAAAAGCUCCGCCUGAAUGAUGUUUUCCUGCCUUUUUUAUUUGUACACUAUUGAAGUAUAUUUUCCUAAUGUCUGAAACACUAGCAUGUGAUCUGCAGCUGUCUGGGUGUUCAUUUUCCUGCCUGUUGUUUCUGCAUACUACGUUAACAGUGUUUAUAUCAAAUGCAUGUAUUUUAUGCCAGUGGCUCUUCAUAAAGCAGCUGUUUAUUUAGAAUAAAAAGCUUUUGUGAGGAUGAAA
Molecule: long non-coding RNA, 630 nt
Filed under: Danio rerio (zebrafish)
Lineage: Eukaryota; Metazoa; Chordata; Actinopteri; Cypriniformes; Danionidae
Description: si:dkey-81l17.6 (si:dkey-81l17.6)
Source: RNAcentral